UAUUGUCUACUGGAAUCUUUUAACAAUU
RNAcentral lists this non-coding RNA (28 nucleotides) under Rattus norvegicus (Norway rat). Lineage: Eukaryota; Metazoa; Chordata; Mammalia; Rodentia; Muridae. The record is from RNAcentral.